UCUCCGUUGGUGGACCAGCGGAGGGAUCAUUACCGAGUUUACAACUCUCAAACCCCAUGUGAACCUUACCAAACGUUGCUUCGGCGGGAUGCCCCGGGCGCGGGCCGCAAGGCCUCAGCCCCGGAACCAGGCGCCCGCCGGAGGCCCAAACCAAACUCUUGUUUUUGUAGAAUCUUCUGAGUGGCCUUUUAGGCAAAAAAUGAAUCAAAACUUUCAACAACGGAUCUCUUGGUUCUG
RNAcentral lists this unclassified non-coding RNA (237 nucleotides) under plant metagenome. RNAcentral's name for it is "partial contains small subunit ribosomal RNA, internal transcribed spacer 1, and 5.8S ribosomal RNA". The record is from RNAcentral.